UACGGUGGGUGCAAGCGUUGCUCGGAAUUAUUGGGCGUAAAGCGUAUGUAGGCGGUUUUCUAAGUCUGAUGUGAAAUCCCGGGGCUUAACCUCGGAACUGCAUUGGAUACUGGAAAGCUAGAGGACGAUAGAGGAUGGUGGAAUUCCAGGUGUAGGGGUGAAAUCCGUAGAUAUCUGGAGGAACAUCAGUGGCGAAGGCGGCCAUCUGGAUCGUACCUGACGCUGAGAUACGAAAGCGUGGGGAGCAAACAGG
RNAcentral lists this ribosomal RNA (253 nucleotides) under uncultured bacterium. Its description in RNAcentral is "partial 16S ribosomal RNA". It matches the Rfam family "Bacterial small subunit ribosomal RNA", at positions 524 to 776 of the family's 1533-position model. The record is from RNAcentral.